AUGAGACAGGGUAACAUGGAAUACAAAGUGAAUCCAGUAACAAAGGUAGAGUACAAUCCUGAGUACGGAGCAAGCUGUUCUACACUGAGUGAGGCUACUCAAGCAUGGGCAGAUCUAUUCAUUAAGCCUCGAACAAAUCUAAUCAGAGUUCGAGUGGCUCAUGGUGACUACGAAGUUAUGAUGGCUGAAAAAUUAGGACUAGUUGACUGUGUAACAGAGUUGAAAAGGAUUCAUAACACCACUCCACAGCUCUGCCUCAACAACUUGUACUCUGUUCUUGUAAAACUCGCAGACCUUGAAGUGGGGAAUUACAUGCUUUGUCACGAGCCUCAAGAUGGAGCGUUUGCUGUCCUGCAUAAAACUUUGAAUGAGAGGUUUGGGUCGCACAGUUUACAACGCUCUUACCAAAAGAAUCUGAUGGCUUCAAAAGAAAGCUGCCCGUUUAUUCCAAUAGAUUUAUUCACUUUAACUCCAGCCAAUCGUUUUCUCAGAUGUGUGCCAGCAACUUUUACUCCGAAGUUUGUUUCCAAGAGAAAUUUCAACCAAAGGAAAGGACCUCCAUCGCUUCCGGUGAGUAACAUCGGGAGACCAAGACCAAGAAAAAAUAAGGGAAAACAUAAAGGUGCAGCAAAUAAAGGUAAUGCUCAACUGCCAAUAAUUCCUGACAAGAUAUUUCCUCUUAAACAAACGAGCAAGUCCUCUGUUGAAAAGGUACCUUUGGAGAACCUAGUUCUGACUGCAAAAGUAGCAAACAAAGAACAAUUUCCGCAUCCUAAUUUCAAGGAGCCAAGAAUUUCUAAGUUUUCUUCAGAAUGCAACCCUGAAAACUCAUUACCGGUUGAAAUACCACUGACUUGCAUUCCAGAGAAACCAAAAACAACCAAAGAGCCUACAAAAUGCAAUCCUGGAAAGACAUCAAUUAAUGACAACCCUGAAGUUUUCACUGUCAAAAAGCAUUUUAGUCAUGAGUUACCUCCAGUGCUCACCCGUGAGAAGUUACCAGAACCUGCUGAGCGACUCAAAACGAGUUUAAAUGAAUCGUCCAGUAAAGGGCAGCCACCAGUGCUCAGUUUUGAAAUGCCAACACUUCUCUGUGAGAAACCUUUACCCCCUACCCUUCAUCUGGAAUUAGAACCGAAGAAGCCAACAUCAAAUAAGUCUCACCCACUCAAUUUCGACAAACCAGCAACUACCCUGAGUCCCUCAUCUCCAAAAUCUCAUAAGUCACCACUCCCAAAGGAGUUAAAUGAAAAACCCUCGAAUCCUCCUGAACUUUCAUCUGAAAGUACGUUUAUUCCAGAGAAGUCUACGACCAUCAGUUCAGAAGAUACGACUCUUUCAGGCAACCUCCAGCGCCUAGUUUGGUGUUGAAUAGCAGAUUAAGAAGAAAUGCACGAAGAGGAGCUCAGUAUAGAGAUAUAUUAAAAAAUAGGAAAAAUUGAAGCUGAAAAGUAAAAGGCUAACGAAAAGUCUUGAUUCUAGUCAGUCUUCCACUUCGAGUCAAGAACCGCAUUGUUCAGACAAUGAGCCCAGUGCAGAAAAAGAAUCAUCCUCUAGUUAUCAAGAUGAACCAAUGCAGGGAACGCAGCCAACAGAAAAAUUUGCUGGGUUCGUCUUUGGGGAAGUUCAACAACUCGGCGUUUCCUCUAGUGGAGAAAGUCAGCCAAUUAAUCCUUCCGGCUCUCAUGCUCAAGAGGUGUCAUUUUCACAGCCCAGAACAGCAGGAAAUUGGCGUCAAAAAGCACGGAAAAGUCUAAAUUUCCAAUUUUCCAAGACACCCAUGAAAGAAGGGCUUAAAAAUCACUUGUCUUGCAGAGGAUCAUCGGGUAAAAUUCUGAGAAACAGGAGGAGUUAUGAUAAGUAAAUUAGCUCAUUCGUAACUUUGUCCUCAAUAUUGCUCUGAACUUUGUAAUUACGCCAUCAUUAUCUUGACCCCUCAAAUUGCAAAUAAUUGUAUUAUUUGAGGUUGAUCCACCCCCCCCCCCCACCCUUACCAGGAAAACUGACUGUGAUUUUACUCUUAAUUGUUUUUAUAAUUAUAUUGAGGCAACUGGUUUAACUUAGCCACUAGCUUUUUUGUAAGUUCAUAAAAUGUGUACUAUUUCUAAAUACAUUUUUAUACUUAUCAAGUUCAUUUAACUUUUUUUUUAAAAAAAAAAAAAAAAGAAUGAUACACUACGUCAAAUUAAUUCAUUGAUAUCUCCUAGCAAGGAUGAAAUGC
RNAcentral lists this long non-coding RNA (2221 nucleotides) under Bemisia tabaci. RNAcentral's name for it is "lncRNA ENSSSA2NGG001129". The record is from RNAcentral. Lineage: Eukaryota; Metazoa; Arthropoda; Insecta; Hemiptera; Aleyrodidae.